This 738-nucleotide long non-coding RNA is filed under the name Marmota monax (woodchuck). The record is from RNAcentral. Lineage: Eukaryota; Metazoa; Chordata; Mammalia; Rodentia; Sciuridae.
AUCCAGAAUUUUGCAGAACAUAGAAGUCAGAGCAGGCAAGAUCCCCCGGGACCGUCUGCUCUCCUCUUGAAAAGUGGUUCAACUGAGGCCCCGCGUGAGGGCUUUUUCUGGCCAGGGCAGCGGCCUGAGGGCCUCAGGGUGAUUCACCAGCAUGUCUGGGCUGUUCUGCCAGAUGCAGCCCCUGGGAGGGCUGUGGGAGGGGCCAGGUCCCCCUGUCUGCUCCUGGCCAUGCACACAUGGACUUGAAGGCUCUGAGAAGCCCUGCAGUAGGCUCCUGUGCCCUGGGCUGGGAGGCUCCCUAACUCGGAGCCUCCUGUUCUGUCACAGGCCUCCCGGGACCUGGGGGCAGAGCAGACGGGCUGGGCUGGCAGAGGGUACGGUCUGUGCCACACCUGCUCCUUCCCGAGCCUGACCCUGAUCCAGACACACUAGGUCUUCCCUGUUUGUCUGUCUGCCUGCUGGUCCUGCAUUAGCCAGUUUUACAGAUGCAAAGACUGAGACCCCAGAGCCCAGGGGCAAGCCCAGAGCUGCCGUCACCCUGUGGAUCUGUGCCCUUCCCACUCCUGCCUAGUCCUCACCUGCCUGGCAGAGGGUCCAGGCCAGGGCCACUGUCCAGAGGGACCCUUCCAGGAUCCCUGCCCGUGAGCAUCCUGGUCCCUUUAAGAGCCUGGCCCCUCCCCUGCUGUCCUGGUUCCCUGGGAGAGGGCAGUGAGGGGGCAGGCGGGGGCGAGCGGAAGG